This 448-nucleotide ribosomal RNA is filed under the name uncultured bacterium. RNAcentral's name for it is "bacterial SSU rRNA". It matches the Rfam family "Bacterial small subunit ribosomal RNA", at positions 328 to 793 of the family's 1533-position model. The record is from RNAcentral.
UUCCCAGACUCCUACGGGAGGCAGCAGUGGGGAAUAUUGCACAAUGGGGGAAACCCUGAUGCAGCGACGCCGCGUGAGUGAAGAAGUAAUUCGUUAUGUAAAGCUCUAUCAGCAGGGAAGAAAAUGACGGUACCUGAGUAAGAAGCCCCGGCUAACUACGUGCCAGCAGCCGCGGUAAUACGUAGGGGGCAAGCGUUAUCCGGAUUUACUGGGUGUAAAGGGGGCGCAGACGGCGAUGCAAGCCAGGAGUGAAAGCCCGGGGCCCAACCCCGGGACUGCUCUUGGAACUGCGUGGCUAGAGUGCAGGAGGGGCAGGCGGAAUUCCUGGUGUAGCGGUGAAAUGCGUAGAUAUCAGGAGGAACACCGGUGGCGAAGGCGGCCUGCUGGACUGCAACUGACGUUGAGGCCCGAAAGCGUGGGGAGCAAACAGGAUUAGAUACCCUUGUAC